GAUGAACGCUGGCGGCGUGCCUAAUACAUGCAAGUCGAGCGAACAGACGAGGAGCUUGCUCCUCUGACGUUAGCGGCGGACGGGUGAGUAACACGUGGAUAACCUACCUAUAAGACUGGGAUAACUUCGGGAAACCGGAGCUAAUACCGGAUAAUAUAUUGAACCGCAUGGUUCAAUAGUGAAGGACGGUUUUGCUGUCACUUAUAGAUGGAUCCGCGCCGCAUUAGCUAGUUGGUAAGGUAACGGCUUACCAAGGCAACGAUGCGUAGCCGACCUGAGAGGGUGAUCGGCCACACUGGAACUGAGACACGGUCCAGACUCCUACGGGAGGCAGCAGUAGGGAAUCUUCCGCAAUGGGCGAGAGCCUGACGGAGCAACGCCGCGGGAGUGAUGAAGGUCUUCGGAUCGUAAAACUCUGUUAUUGGGGAAGAACAAAUGUGUAAGUAACUAUGCACGUCUUGACGGUACCUAAUCAGAAAGCCACGGCUAACUACGUG
This 497-nucleotide ribosomal RNA is filed under the name uncultured bacterium. RNAcentral's name for it is "partial 16S ribosomal RNA". It matches the Rfam family "Bacterial small subunit ribosomal RNA", at positions 28 to 507 of the family's 1533-position model. The record is from RNAcentral.